GUGCUGUGAGAGCCCAACGAUGUUCAGGCCAAACCAGCUAUUACACCAUGAGCGUAAAGUAUUUGGACAGUAAAGCGUUUUGAAAUACCUCCUGCUAGGACAUUUGGAAGAAGUUAAUGUGAAGAAAAAAAUAUUAUGAGUUAAUCAAGCGAUUUCUCCAGAAGAGGUAAUUGUGUCUGCCUCGUGGAAUGGGGCAGAAGAAAAUCGAACUACGCUGAAGGCCAGUUGUGUGUCCAUGAAGAGAAACUGAGCAAUGGAAACACCAGGAGACGCUCCAGAGGGACAGAGACACAUCCGUCGGGAGAGACCUCCAUCACCUGCACCCACUUGUGUAUCCAUGAAGAGUGACCUGUCAGAAGAUCGGCACAUCAACUUCCAGAAUGAAGAUGAUACAAAUGGAUCAAGAAGCCAAAUGGAGGAAUGUAAACCAGAUGCUGUCAGUGACCAGUUCACCCAGAGUCAACAUGGGGAUCUGAAGCACAUAUUCCAGGUUUGAUGCACACAUUUAAUGCAGUGCUGCUAUGGAGUAUAUGUUCAUAAUUAGUCAAAUACACCACCACUCAAAAUAUGGAAUUACUCACUAAUGUACUUGUUUUUGAAAGAAAAUUACAUUUUUCAAUUCAAAUAACCUAAGAUUGACCAUAAAUAUAAUAUAGGUAAUCAUUAGGUCUGUUAUGGCGUGUUUGACAGGUUAU
Long non-coding RNA from Clupea harengus (Atlantic herring), 695 nucleotides. The record is from Ensembl. NCBI's taxonomy places the organism in Eukaryota, Metazoa, Chordata, Actinopteri, Clupeiformes, Clupeidae.